GAUGAACGCUAGCUACAGGCUUAACACAUGCAAGUCGCGGGGCAGCAUGGGGGUUGCUUGCAAUCCCUGAUGGCGACCGGCGCACGGGUGAGUAACGCGUAUCCAACCUGCCCUUCACCACGGGAUAACCCGGCGAAAGUCGGACUAAUACCGUAUGUUGUCCAUUGACGGCAUCCGAUUUGGACGAAAGGCUUAGCGGUGAGGGAUGGGGAUGCGUCCGAUUAGCUUGACGGCGGGGUAACGGCCCACCGUGGCUACGAUCGGUAGGGGUUCUGAGAGGAAGGUCCCCCACACGGGAACUGAGACACGGUCCAGACUCCUACGGGAGGCAGCAGUGAGGAAGAUUGGUCAAUGGGCGUAAGCCUGAACCAGCCAAGUAGCGUGCAGGAUGACGGCCCUAUGGGUUGUAAACUGCUUUUAGGCGGGGAUAAAGGGACCCACGUGUGGGUUUUUGCAGGUACCGCAUGAAUAAGGACCGGCUAAUUCCGUG
This 490-nucleotide ribosomal RNA is filed under the name uncultured bacterium. Its description in RNAcentral is "partial 16S ribosomal RNA". It matches the Rfam family "Bacterial small subunit ribosomal RNA", at positions 28 to 507 of the family's 1533-position model. The record is from RNAcentral.